Molecule: ribosomal RNA, 1552 nt
Filed under: Anaerobacillus sp. HL2
Lineage: Bacteria; Bacillati; Bacillota; Bacilli; Caryophanales; Bacillaceae
Description: bacterial SSU rRNA
Rfam family: Bacterial small subunit ribosomal RNA
Source: RNAcentral
UUUAUGGAGAGUUUGAUCCUGCUCAGGACGGUAACGCUGGCGGCGUGCCUAAUACAUGCAAGUCGAGCGGAGAAUGAAAAGCUUGCUUUUCAUUCUUUAGCGGCGGACGGGUGAGUAACACGUGGGCAACCUGCCCUGUAGACUGGGAUAACUCGGGAAACCGAAGCUAAUACCGGAUAAUCUUAGGAGUCGCAUGGUCUUGGCAAAGUUGGGCUUUACUCUUAACACUACAGGAUGAAGCCCGCGGCGCAUUAGCUAGUUGGCAGGUACGGCCUACCAAGUGACGAUGCGUAGCCGACCUGAGAGGUGAUCGGCCACACUGACUGAGAUGCACGGCCUGUGACUCCUACGGGAGGCAGCAGUAGGGAAUUUUCCGCAAUGGACGAAAGUCUGACGGAGCAACGCCGCGUGAACGAUGAAGGCCUUCCGGGUCGUAAAGUUCUGUUGUUUAAGGGAAGAACAAGUACCGUUCAAAUAGGUCGGUACAUGACGGUGCCUAACGAGAAAGCCACGGCUAACUACGUGCCAACAGCCGCGGUAAUACGUAGGUGGCAAGAUUUGUCCGGAAUUAUUGGGCGUAAAAGCGCGCGCAGGCGGUUUUCUUAAGUCUGAUGUGAAAGCCCCCGGCUCAACCGGGGAGGGUCAUUGGAAACUGGGAACUUGAGUGCAGAAGAGGAGAGUGGAAUUCCAUGUGUAGCGGUGAAAUGCGUAGAUAUAUGGAGAACACCAGUGGCGAAGGCGACUCUCUGGUCUGUAACUGACGCUGAGGCGCGAAAGCGUGGGGAGCAAACAGGAUUAGAUACCCUGGUAGUCCCACGCCGUAAACGAUGAGUGCUAGGUGUUAGGGGUUUCGAUGCCCUUAGUGCCGAAGUUAACACAUUAAGCACUCCGCCUGGGGAGUACGACCGCAAGGUUGAAACUCAAAGGAAUUGACGGGGGCCCGCACAAGCAGUGGAGCAUGUGGUUUAAUUCGAAGCAACGCGAAGAACCUUACCAGAUGACAUCCUUAUGACAUCCUGAGAUAGGGCUUUCCUUCGGGGACAUAAGUGACAGGUGGUGCAUGGUUGUCGUCAGCUCGUGUCGUGAGAUGUUGGGUUAAGUCCCGCAACGAGCGCAACCCUUGAUCUUAGUUGCCAGCAUUCAGUUGGGCACUCUAAGGUGACUGCCGGUGAUAAACCGGAGAAGGUGGGGAUGACGUCAAAUCAUCAUGCCCCUUAUGACCUGGGCUACACACGUGCUACAAUGGAUGGUACAAGGGCUGCGAGACCGCGAGAGGUUAAGCCAAUCCCAUAAAGCCAUUCUCAGUUCGGAUUGUAGGCUGCAACUCGCCUACAUGAAGCCGGAAUUGCUAGUAAUCGCGGAUCAGCAUGCCGCGGUGAAUACGUUCCCGGGCCUUGUACACACCGCCCGUCACACCACGAGAGAGUUUGUAACACCCGAAGUCGGUGGGGUAACCUUUUAGGAGCCAGCCGCCCUAAGGUGGGACAGAUGAUUGGGGGUGAAGUCGUAACAAGGUAGCCGUAUCGGAAGGUGCGGCUGGAUCACCUCCUUU